CCUACGGGUGGCAGCAGUGGGGAAUAUUGGACAAUGGGGGGAACCCUGAUCCAGCGACGCCGCGUGAGUGAAGAAGUAUUUCGGUAUGUAAAGCUCUAUCAGCCGGGGAGAAAAUGACGGUACCUGACUAAGAAGCCCCGGCUAACUACGUGCCAGCAGCCGCGGUAAUACGUAGGGGGCACGCGUUAACCGGAUUUACUGGGUGUAAAGGGAGCGUAGACGGUGCAGCAAGGCUGAUGUGAAAGUUCGGGGCCCAACCCCGGGACUGCAGUGGAAACUGUUGAACUGGAGUAGAGGAGAGGUAAGCGGAAUGCGUAGUGUAGCGGUGAAAUGCGUAGAUAUCAGGAGGAACACCAGUGGCGAAGGCGGCUUACUGGCCUGUAACUGACGUUGAGGCUCGAAAGCGUGGGUAGCAAACAGGAUUAGAUACCCCAGUAGUC
RNAcentral lists this ribosomal RNA (440 nucleotides) under uncultured bacterium. RNAcentral's name for it is "partial 16S ribosomal RNA". It matches the Rfam family "Bacterial small subunit ribosomal RNA", at positions 338 to 795 of the family's 1533-position model. The record is from RNAcentral.